RNAcentral lists this ribosomal RNA (390 nucleotides) under uncultured soil bacterium. RNAcentral's name for it is "bacterial SSU rRNA". It matches the Rfam family "Bacterial small subunit ribosomal RNA", at positions 26 to 446 of the family's 1533-position model. The record is from RNAcentral.
AGAACGAACGCUGGCGGCAUGCCUAAUACAUGCAAGUCGAACGAACACUUCGGUGUUAGUGGCGCACGGGUGCGUAACGCGUGGGAAUCUGCCCUUGGGUUCGGAAUAACAGUUGGAAACGACUGCUAAUACCGGAUGAUGACGAAAGUCCAAAGAUUUAUCGCCCAGGGAUGAGCCCGCGUAGGAUUAGCUAGUUGGUGAGGUAAAGGCUCACCAAGGCGUACGAUCCUUAGCUGGUCUGAGAGGAUGAUCAGCCACACUGGGACUGAGACACGGCCCAGACCUCCACGGGAGCAGCAGUAGGGAAUAGUGGACAAGUGGGCGCAAGCCUGAUCCAGCAAUGCCGCGUGAGUGAUGAAGCCUUAGGGUGUAAAGUCUACGUUUACCGAG